CGUGACGCCGGCGCCUACGGGCCAGAAGUGUGUGAUUUCGGUCUCCAAGAAAAGCUCAACGACGAAGAAGCCAGCCGCCCGUACCGCAAACCGACACAGGUAGGCGAGGUGAGUAUCCACAGGCGAACGAGAGAACCUUCGUUAAGGAACUAGGCAAAAUGGCUCCGUAACUUCGGGAGAAGGAGCGCCAGCGCGAGCUGGCCGCAGAGAAAUGGCCCUGGCGACUGUUUAACAAAAACACAGGUCUCUGCUAAUCCGAAAGGAGAAGUAUAGGGGCUGACGCCUGCCCAGUGCCGGAAGGUUAAGAGGAGUGGUCAGGUCAGCUACGGUUGACUGAAGCCAGGAAUUGAAGCCCCGGUGAACGGCGGCGGUAACUAUAACCGUCCUAAGGUAGCGAAAUUCCUUGUCGGGUAAGUUCCGACCCGCACGAAAGGCGUAACGAUCAGGGCACUGUCUCAACGAGGGACUCGGUGAAAUUGAAGGACGUGUAAAGAUGCGCGUUACCCGCAGCAGGACAAAAAGACCCCGUGGAGCUUUACUGUAGCUUGCUAUUGCGUUAGGGCAUGGUUUGUGUAGGAUAGCUGGGAGGCAAGGAAGCCUGGGCGUCAGCCUGGGUGGAGCCAAUGGUGAAAUACCAGCCUGACGAUGCUUUGACCCUAACCUGCGUCUCUGAAGCGAGCGUGGGAACAGUGGCAGGUGGGCAGUUUGACUGGGGCGGUCGCCUCCUAAAAGGUAGCGGAGGCGCCCAAAGGUUGGCUCAGGCGGAAUGGAAACCCGCCGUAGAGUGUAAUGGCACAAGCCAGCUUGACUGCGAGACAGACACGUCGAGCAGAGACGAAAGUCGGGCAUAGUGAUCCCACGGCGCUGAGUGGAAAGGCCGUGGCUUACCGGAUAAAAGCUACCCCGGGGAUAACAGGCUAGUCUGGUCCAAGAGUUCACAUCGACGACCAGGCUCGGCACCUCGAUGUCGGCUCAUCGCAUCCUGGGGCUGGAUCAGGUCCCAAGGGUUGGGCUGUUCGCCCAUUAAAGCGGUACGUGAGCUGGGUUCAGACCGUCGUGAGACAGGUCGGUCUCUAUCCGCUGUGGGCGUGAGAAGCUUGAAGGGAGCUGCCCCUAGUACGAGAGGACCGGGGUGGACGAAGCGCUGGUGUGCCGGUUGUCGUGCCAACGGCAUGGCCGGGUAGCCACCUUCGGCAGAGAGAACCGC
This 1207-nucleotide ribosomal RNA is filed under the name metagenome. RNAcentral describes it as "bacterial LSU rRNA". It matches the Rfam family "Bacterial large subunit ribosomal RNA", at positions 1564 to 2771 of the family's 2925-position model. The record is from RNAcentral.